RNAcentral lists this ribosomal RNA (706 nucleotides) under uncultured bacterium. RNAcentral's name for it is "bacterial SSU rRNA". It matches the Rfam family "Bacterial small subunit ribosomal RNA", at positions 127 to 851 of the family's 1533-position model. The record is from RNAcentral.
UGCCUUGUACAGGGGGAUAACAGUUGGAAACGGCUGCUAAUACCGCAUAAGCGCACGGCAUCGCAUGAUGCAGUGUGAAAAACUCCGGUGGUAUAAGAUGGACCCGCGUUGGAUUAGCUAGUUGGUGAGGUAACGGCCCACCAAGGCGACGAUCCAUAGCCGACCUGAGAGGGUGACCGGCCACAUUGGGACUGAGACACGGCCCAAACUCCUACGGGAGGCAGCAGUGGGGAAUAUUGCACAAUGGGCGAAAGCCUGAUGCAGCGACGCCGCGUGAGCGAAGAAGUAUUUCGGUAUGUAAAGCUCUAUCAGCAGGGAAGAUAAUGACGGUACCUGACUAAGAAGCACCGGCUAAAUACGUGCCAGCAGCCGCGGUAAUACGUAUGGUGCAAGCGUUAUCCGGAUUUACUGGGUGUAAAGGGAGCGCAGGCGGUGCGGCAAGUCUGAUGUGAAAGCCCGGGGCUCAACCCCGGUACUGCAUUGGAAACUGUCGUACUAGAGUGUCGGAGGGGUAAGCGGAAUUCCUAGUGUAGCGGUGAAAUGCGUAGAUAUUAGGAGGAACACCAGUGGCGAAGGCGGCUUACUGGACGAUAACUGACGCUGAGGCUCGAAAGCGUGGGGAGCAAACAGGAUUAGAUACCCUGGUAGUCCACGCCGUAAACGAUGAGUACUAGGUGUUGGGAAGCAUUGCUUCUCGGUGCCGUCG